Molecule: long non-coding RNA, 444 nt
Organism: Urocitellus parryii (Arctic ground squirrel)
Lineage: Eukaryota; Metazoa; Chordata; Mammalia; Rodentia; Sciuridae
Source: RefSeq, a predicted model, not a curated record
CGGUCGGGUUGGUGAUGAGUGGAGGUAGUGGGAUCCCCAGCCCCGCGAGGACGCCCCCAGAUUGCCAGGGAUCGUCUAGUCCUUAAAGAAUAAGAGUCUUCAGAAUUGGAAGGCCCCGGAGGCUUACAUCCUAACUCCAGUGAUCCUGAACGUCUCUACCACUGCAUUGACUACAUUUUGAUUUGAAACACUUAACUGGUAUCCAUCUUUUCCCCUAAUCCUGUGCUGUCCAGUACUGUAAUAAUGACUAGCCACGUAUGGCUUUUGAACACUUGAAAUGUGGCUAAUGCAACUUGAGAGAGGCUAUUAAGUGAAAGCUACACACCAAUAAAUAAAUACCCCCGCCCAAGAAUGUCAGAUCUCACUAAUAAUAUCUGUAUGCUAAUUACAUGUUGAAAUAAUUUUUGAAAUGUUGGGUUAAAUAAAAUAUAUUAUUAAAAUUAA